UUUCCUUUGGACCUUCCGGCGGCGUCGGCCCUAUUUCCCGUGCUGCACUGCGGGCUUCUCUCUUUCUCUUCCGGUCCCAGGCGCUGCGGGAGCCGCGGGUUACCGUGAGUGUUGGCCUUACGGCAUCCGAUGCCAUCCGUGACUGCAGGGCGGCGGCGGGUCGCGGGACAGGCGACGCGGGUGGCAGGAAGGACAGGGCGGGCAGCUGCUUGGCUGUGGGGCGUAGAGAUCGCCGGGCGGGGGUGGUGCCCGGUCGCCCUUAAGGAACGGAUGGCGGGGAAAGCCGCCCCGGGGCCGGCAAGCUCAGUGUCAGGACGGACCUCAUAGCUCGCGUUGGAGAGGUGCAGACAUGGCCAAGUCCAAGAACCACACCACACACAACCAGUCCCGCAAAUGGCACAGAAAUGGCAUCAAGAAACCCCGGUCGCAAAGAUAUGAAUCUCUUAAGGGGGUUGACCCCAAGUUCCUGAGGAACAUGCGCUUUGCCAAGAAG
This is a long non-coding RNA of Mus pahari (shrew mouse), 493 nucleotides long. RefSeq lists it as uncharacterized. The record is from RefSeq and is a predicted model, not a curated record. NCBI's taxonomy places the organism in Eukaryota, Metazoa, Chordata, Mammalia, Rodentia, Muridae. The transcript is spliced from 4 exons.